CCUACGGGAGGCAGCAGUGGGGAAUAUUGGACAAUGGGGGGAACCCUGAUCCAGCGACGCCGCGUGAGUGAAGAAGUAUCUCGGUAUGUAAAGCUCUAUCAGCAGGGAAGAAAAUGAUGGUACCUGACUAAUAAGCCCCGUCUAACUACGUGCCAGCAGCCGUGGGAAUACGUAGGGGGCAAGCGUUAUCCGGAUUUACUGGGGGUAAAGGGAGCGUAGACGGUGCAGCCAGUCUGAUGUGAAAGGUUGGGGCCCAAGCCCGGGACUGCAUUGGAAACUGUUGGACUGGAGUACAGAAGAGGUAGGCGGAAUACGUUAAGUAGCGGUGAAAUGCUUAGAUAUAAGGAAGAACACCAGUGGCGAAGGCAGCUUACUAGACUGUAACUGACGUUGAGGCUCGAGAGCGUGGGGAGCAAACAGGAUUAGAUACCCUGGUAGUC
RNAcentral lists this ribosomal RNA (440 nucleotides) under uncultured bacterium. Its description in RNAcentral is "partial 16S ribosomal RNA". It matches the Rfam family "Bacterial small subunit ribosomal RNA", at positions 338 to 795 of the family's 1533-position model. The record is from RNAcentral.